UUAGUUGAUAUCUUCGCCACUGCUAACUCAGCAUUGGUAAGCUAAGAUUUUGUUCCAAAGUCUCCUUGUCAUUGGCUAAGACAUCCUUCUCUAGUUGAAGGCUUUCAAACUGCUAUUUCUAGUUAUCCGCCUCCGUGCCUAACUCCGCAACUUACAGUUCAGUCCAAGUUAACCUUCUCAUUAGCUCCAUACUAGUUAAGUUAAUCUACAAAAAGGAAAAAACAAAGAUGUUACAAACCAAAGGAAGGAAGAUAGAAAAGGAUUAAGGGUAGAAAAAUUCACCUUGAGAGUGGAAUGAAUUAAAUCAUUCAUAAGAGUAAUGGAGAAUUAAGAAUCAA
RNAcentral lists this long non-coding RNA (338 nucleotides) under Nicotiana benthamiana. Its description in RNAcentral is "long non-coding RNA (NBEN_LNC040467)". Lineage: Eukaryota; Viridiplantae; Streptophyta; Magnoliopsida; Solanales; Solanaceae. The record is from RNAcentral.